This 254-nucleotide ribosomal RNA is filed under the name uncultured bacterium. Its description in RNAcentral is "partial 16S ribosomal RNA". It matches the Rfam family "Bacterial small subunit ribosomal RNA", at positions 524 to 776 of the family's 1533-position model. The record is from RNAcentral.
GACAGAGGGUGCAAACGUUGUUCGGAUUUACUGGGCGUAAAGGGCGCGUAGGCGGCCAGCACAAGUCAGUUGUGAAAUCUCCGAGCUUAACUCGGAAAGGUCAACUGAUACUGUGCGGCUAGAGUGCGGAAGGGGCAACUGGAAUUCUUGGUGUAGCGGUGAAAUGCGUAGAUAUCAAGAGGAACACCUGCGGCGAAGGCGGGUUGCUGGGCCGACACUGACGCUGAGGCGCGAAAGCCAGGGGAGCGAACGGG